This 406-nucleotide ribosomal RNA is filed under the name uncultured bacterium. RNAcentral describes it as "partial 16S ribosomal RNA". It matches the Rfam family "Bacterial small subunit ribosomal RNA", at positions 29 to 526 of the family's 1533-position model. The record is from RNAcentral.
AUUGAACGCUGGCGGCAGGCCUAACACAUGCAAGUCGAACGAGUGGCGGACGUGUGAGUUAUGUCUGGGAAACUGCCCGCUGGAGGGGGAUAACUACUGGAAACGGUAGCUAAUACCGCAUACCAUCGGAUGUGCCCAGAUGGGAUUAGCUGGUAGGUGGGGUAGUGGUUCACCUCGGCGGCGAUCCCUAGCUGGGCGGAGAGGAGGACCAGCCACACGGGAACUGUGACACGGUCCAGACGCCUACGGGAGGAAGCAGUGGGGAAUAUGGCACAAUGGGCGCAAGCCUGAUGCAGCCAUGCCGCGUGGAUGAAGAAGGCCUUCGGGUUGUAAAGUACUUUCAGCGAGGAGGCGUUACUCGCAGAAGAAGCACCGGCUAACUCCGUGCCAGCAGCCGCGGUAAUAC